AUUUGCUGCUUAAAAGGUUGCACUGAAGUGGGUUCUUGCAGAUAAUCUCUCUUCAUUUCAUCAUUAUGUCCUUCUCUUUCAAAAGAUUAUCUAUCUCUGGAAUUUAUCCUUUAAAAAAUAAUCAUAAAGAGAGGAAAAGGAAAAAAGUUACCCAUGAUGCUUGUUGCGAGAGCCCAAGGGACGAAACAGCGCUCUCUCUCCCCAUCAAUAACCUGAACUUUCAAACAUGUAGGAAUAGUUAAGGAUUCCUUCUGGACUAUUUUAAGGAGCAAAUUUAUUAGUUCUAUAGCAUCUCAUAAUCCUGAGGUAUUUAGAAAAACUACAUUCUUUGGAUUCUGAAACGCUGGCUGUUUCCCUGAGCUACUUCGAACAAUGCAGCUUCUGCUGACGGGGCACUCCGUGGGCAGCGGUGUUGUUGAAUUCUGAGAGUCCACGGUGUGAUAGAAGCAGCCUCUCCUGCAGGUACAGCUUGCUGUAGUCAGAUGCAUAUUCUACCGUCAAUCCAACACCAAACAAAGUUCACUCUCCAGAAAGAGAAGAUCAGAGUAUUCACCACGAAGAAUCGAAUGGAUCUCAACCACCUUGGAGAACAACAGGGGGAAGCUGAUGAGAACACUCCGUUUUGGCAGCCCACAGCAGCCACCUGAGGUUCUCUGGUUCUCAUCACAUCCCCCGCCCAGCAAAGAGACCAGAGCAUGGCUGUCUGCAGACAUGUGGUACCCACUUCCCACAAACACCAAAGUGAGACCUGCUGCUUAGACAACACAGAUAAGGUUAAAAUCAAACCCUUGAGGUCAGCCAGCCAUCAGUGAGUCCUAGUUCUGACCCUGAUCACCUGUGGGACCUUGAGCAAGCUACUUAACUUCUCAGAGCCUCAAUUUCCUCAUCUGUAAAAUGGGAAUAACCUACUCACAAAGCAGUCAGCAGACUUUCUACUCACUUAUGUGCUCAAUGAAUGUUAGCUAGCUAUUCUUAUUACUUCCAGGAGACAAGAGCCUAGAAGGGUGUGUGUUUGACUCUCGUUUGUAUUUUCCAUACUUAACAAAGUGCCUUGCCCAGAGAUGCGACUGAGUGCAGUUUUUACUAAAUGAAUUCUGGCUGCCCUCUGUAGCUGGCUGGUGGUAACUAUAGACACAGUUUAGGAUGGACCUGAGUAUGGAAAGGAACGGGAUUGGUGAAGGCCAGUUUGUCCUCACUGACCUACGUUAUCAAUGGGUUGGGGUUUGCUUUCUCUCUGGAAGAUGCCUCAUUUCCUUUCUAUGGAUUCCCUUUGUAGUUGCUCAGCACUUCUCUGACUCAUGAUAAUAAAUUCCAGAUUCUCCAAGUUGGGUCUUGUGUGUCUUUGCAUCCAACUCCUCACCAGCUUCAAUGGCCCAUGAGCAAUUAACUGUGACACUCUCCC
This is a long non-coding RNA of Equus caballus (horse), 1402 nucleotides long. The record is from Ensembl. Lineage: Eukaryota; Metazoa; Chordata; Mammalia; Perissodactyla; Equidae.